Molecule: long non-coding RNA, 1270 nt
Filed under: Monodelphis domestica (gray short-tailed opossum)
Lineage: Eukaryota; Metazoa; Chordata; Mammalia; Didelphimorphia; Didelphidae
Description: lncRNA (ENSMODG00000051452.1)
Source: RNAcentral
UUCAGGAAGCAGUCUGAGACCUGCGCAGUUUAUUGCCAGGACUUGGACUUGCUUAAACCUUGAAUUGAAAAGUUCUAGCACAGCAAAGUAAAGCUGGGAUCUUCUCCUCCUGGGUACCACAGAAAAUGGGAUGAACAUCGCAUAAAUUGGCACAGAAAAAGAGAAACAGCAAGGAAGGAGAUCCAAGGACCUUUCUUCAUGUCAGCAAUUAAAUUCUUGGAGAUGACUUGCAUCCAAGUUAGGUGGGCUGACCCGAGAUUCAUAUCGUGACCUAUUGUGAAAGUACCUCAGCUUUAAUCACAAGAAUGCCCUUCCCACCUAGAGAUGUACACCCUUUGAACAAAGGGAUUAUUUCAUUUUUGCUUUGUAUUUCCAGUGUCUAAAACAUGCCUGAACAUGGUAUGUGCUUAACAAAUACUUAUGGAAUUGAAUUAAAUCAUAUGAAUUGAGUUCCUGAAAUAAUCACUUCAUUGUACUUUUCCCUUAUAAAACUACUAUAACAAAGCUAUUAUAAAACUUUUGGUAGCUCUGAAAAAUAGCUGGAAACUUGGUGUGGCUCUCUCUAUCACAAUUUUGUAGUUUUCUGACCCUUUUUAGUCUUUUACUGAUGCUCUUUGGAUUUUUUCUACCUUGAUCAUAUCCCAGUGUCUACCACAAAGAAAAAUACUUAAGUAAAGCCAAAUGACAAAAAAAAAUCAUAGCUGAUAACAUAUACUCAUUCAUUAAAAAAAAAACAACAUAUCUUUCAUCUUAGAAAAGACACUAAGUAAGGGCUUGGCCAUUGGAGUUAAGUAACUUGCCCCAGGUCAAAUAGCUAGAAAGUGCCCAAGAUCAUAUUUGAACCCAGGGCCUUCUGUCUCCAGGCCUGGCUCUCUCUAUCCACCUCGCUGCCCCUCACUCAUUCAUUUUUGACAUUUGAUGCUAGAAUUUAACCUCCUUUCGAAUAUUUUGCAUUUCUCAGGGCUUUUAUGUCCUCUAGGCAUAGUUAGAGUUUUGUCUUCCAUUUAAGAUCUCAGAAACAUUGCUGAUUUAGCAAUCUUUUAGAAAUAGGGGAAAGAAACCCCUUUUUCUUCCUUCUUUCUCUUGAAACCAGUGACAUAAAAUCUUAGUUCAUUUUUUCUUAAUCUCUAGGGACAAGACAAACUCAGUACUUAAGGGCCUGGGGGAUUAAUUACUUGCAGAAAAAUGGGGAGAUAAAAUAAUUUCUCUGGAGACAUUUAAGAAAAAAAAAUGAAACCCUUCAGUCGAGCAUCAUUCAGGAGCAGCCCUU